GUUAAAAAGCUCGUAGUUGGAUUUCUGUGGGGACGGAGCGGCCGGCCGCAACUCGCGGUUCGAGCUAGCGCUUUCCCUACAUCCUGCCGCGAACCGUGCUACCAUUAGUUUGGUGGCGCCGGGGAUCGGCUCGUUUACUUUGAGAAAAAUAGAGUGUUCAAAGCAGGCCACACGCCUUGAAUAAGUUAGCAUGGAAUAAUAAUAAAGGACUUCGGUUCUAUUUCGUUGGUGUUCGGGACUGAAGUAAUGAUUGAUAGGGACAGUUGGGGCGGUCAGUAUUCCAAAGCGAGAGGUGAAAUUCUUAGACCUUCGGAAGACUAACAGCUGCGAAAGCGUUCCGCAAGGAUGUUCCCUUUGAUCAAGAACGAAAGUUGGGGGAUCGAAGACGAUCAGAUACCGUCGUAGUCUCAACUAUAAACUAUACCAGCUAGGGAUCGGCCAACGUUAAAUUAUUCGACUUGGUCGGCACCUUAUGAGAAAUCAAAGCAUCUGGGUUCCGGGGGGAGUAUGGUCGCAAGGCUGAAAACUUAAAGGAAUUGACGGAAGGGCACCACCAGCCGUGGAGCCUGUGGCUUAAUUUGACUCAACACGGGAAAACUUACCAGGUCCAGACAUAGUAAAGAUUGACAGAUUGAUAGCUCUUUCUUGAUUCUGU
RNAcentral lists this ribosomal RNA (655 nucleotides) under uncultured marine eukaryote. Its description in RNAcentral is "SSU rRNA". It matches the Rfam family "Eukaryotic small subunit ribosomal RNA", at positions 618 to 1271 of the family's 1831-position model. The record is from RNAcentral.